AGAAGAUGCUAAAUUAAUAAAAGUGGAUAAAGAUGUAAUUUUAAUGGAAUUAAAUAUAAUUGUUGAUACGUGUACGAAGAUAGUGGAAAGAGUAACAAAUAAUAAUACGUGUGGUAUAGAUGUAGGAGGUGUGAAAUUAGAAUCAGAUGUUACUACUACUAUUUUGGCAGAUACUGUUGUAGGUGUAGAUGAGGAAGUUGAUGAUAGUGAGGUUAUUGGUGAGAGUAACAAUGUAGGUGUGAAUGACAAUGCUGAUGGUGGUGGUGAUGAUGAUGGUAGUGAUGGUGGUGAUGGUGGUGAUGGUGAUAGUAAUAAUAUUAUUUCUUUUAAUCAGAAUAUGGUAAAAGUAAAAGCUUCAGCGAACAUGUCUGGAUCGAGUUUGUCAAUGUGUAUAAGUAACAAUGAUAACACUGAUUAUUUAAAAGGAGAAGAUGAGAUACUGAAAGUGGACGACACUAUUAGUAGUAGUAGCAUUGAUGGUGGUGAUAAAACAUAUGUAUAUAAAAAGGAACAAGCUAAAAGUGAGGUUAUUAAAAAUGAAAAAGUAAAAGACGAAGUGGAAGAAAUGUAUAAGAAAGAACUUUGUGAAAAGGAAGAGAUGGACAUUUCUUUUGAUAAUACACAGGAUAAUGUCGGUGAUACUAAAAAAGAACUACAAAGUAGUAACAACAGUUGUAAUUUCAACAGCAGCGGUAUUAAAGGUGUUGUUUUUUCGAAAAGUGUAAAAAAUGACAUGACUUUGUCAGGUAAAAAAGUAGUAAAUGAUAGUAAUACUAGUUUAAAAGAUGAACUAAGUACUAAUGAUGAAUUAAGUACUAAAGACGAGCUUAGCACAAAGGAUGAGUUAAGUACUAAAGAUGAGACCAAUACAAAAGACGAACCAAAUGACACUACAACAGAAAUAGAAACAGAUAAUGCUAACAAAAUGAACAAAAUAAGUAUCAAAGAAAAUGAUGAAAACUCAAACGAUGAGGAGGCUUUCAACGUGAGUUUGGGUGGAAAAUCAAAAGGGAACAAUGGUGACGGUGGUGCCAUUUCUGGUGAAAAAGUACGAAAAGUAGAUGCAUAUACUUUUUACAUAGGAACAAAUAAAGCUAAUGCGUUAGACUUGUGUCAAAGAUUACAUUUGUUUAAAUGUUUACAUGAUUUUGUUAAAGAACAAAAUAAUAAUAAUGAGUAUAGUUUUA
Molecule: long non-coding RNA, 1187 nt
Filed under: Piliocolobus tephrosceles (Ugandan red Colobus)
Lineage: Eukaryota; Metazoa; Chordata; Mammalia; Primates; Cercopithecidae
Description: lncRNA (ENSPTEG00000017822.1)
Source: RNAcentral